UCUGUGGAAGAAGGAGCAGGUGACUGGACUGCAGGAUCCACUGUCGAAGAUCCUGUUGCAGCCAUAUAGGCUGCCAGCUUUUGUCAGGAAGGGGCUGAAGAAGCUGUGGGGGGUGCUGGAAGGUAUCAGCUCCACGGUAAAACGGUUCCAGAAGCUCCUCCAAACCAUGGUGCCUGGAUUGCCUCUGAGAGCCGUGGCCAGGAGGUAGCCAUCCUGGAUGGCCCCUGGGGACCUCAGGCAUCACACGGUUCUGCUGGCCUGGGAAGCGGUGGGUGACACCGGAGCCCAUUUCACACAGUGGCACAGCUGUGGGUUUUUGUGGAGUAUUUUGGGGGUGGUUCUUUCACUUGGGAAAACCAGCUGAUUUCGUUCCUAGUGCUGCUGCAGUCUCCCUGCCCAGGCCUGACCUGCUUUAACAUGACGGCCAAACCGCAGUCUGCGCAGGGGGGAUUGGGCAUCUUUACUUGCAUGGGUGCACACCCCGGCUGCUGUUUUCCCUAGCCACUCCACUUGCUGAUCACCAGCAGCAUCCCUCCCCCUGCUUUAAUGCAGAUUACAGGGCAGACAUCUGCCAGGAAAUAUCCCAUUUUAAGUGUUUGCCUCCCACUCAAGAACUUUCAGAGAGAUUCAUCAAACAGAAAACAGAGAGAGGGAGA
This is a non-coding RNA of Phalacrocorax carbo (great cormorant), 656 nucleotides long. NCBI's taxonomy places the organism in Eukaryota, Metazoa, Chordata, Aves, Suliformes, Phalacrocoracidae. The record is from RefSeq and is a predicted model, not a curated record.